UAGGGAAUCUUCGGCAAUGGACGAAAGUCUGACCGAGCAACGCCGCGUGAGUGAAGAAGGUUUUCGGAUCGUAAAACUUUGUUGUGUUAGAAAAGAACAAGGACGUUANUAAUUGAGCGNCCCGUGACGGUAUCUAAAGCGANGCUAGGACAUGCCAGGNCCGCGGGAAUACGUAAGUGGCAAGCGNUGGCCGGAUUUAUUGGGCGUAAAGCGAGCGCANGGGGUUCCUCAGGCGGUUUCUUAAGUCUGAUGUGAAAGCCCCCGGCUCAACCGGGGAGGGCCAUUGGAAACUGGGAGACUUGAGUGCAGAAGAGGAGAGUGGAAUUCCAUGUGUAGCGGUGAAAUGCGUAGAUAUAUGGGGGGANNNCNUGGGGNANGGGGGCUCUCUGGUCUGUAACUGACGCUGAGGCUCGAAAGCGUGGGGAGCAAACAGGAUUAGAUACCCUGGUAGUCCACGCCGUAAACGAUGAGUGCUAAGUGUUGGAGGGUUUCCGCCCUUCAGUGCUGCAGCAAACGCAUUAAGCACUCCGCCUGGGGAGUACGACCGCAAGGUUG
Molecule: ribosomal RNA, 555 nt
Filed under: uncultured bacterium
Lineage: Bacteria
Description: partial 16S rRNA
Rfam family: Bacterial small subunit ribosomal RNA
Source: RNAcentral